Non-coding RNA from Zophobas morio, 82 nucleotides. NCBI's taxonomy places the organism in Eukaryota, Metazoa, Arthropoda, Insecta, Coleoptera, Tenebrionidae. The record is from the annotation of a RefSeq genome assembly.
GCGUUCGUGUCCGAGUGGUUAAGGAGAUCGACUAGAAAUCGAUUGGGCUCUGCCCGCGUAGGUUCGAGUCCUGCCGAACGCG